AUUGAACGCUGGCGGCAGGCCUAACACAUGCAAGUCGAACGAGUGGCGGACGGGUGAGUAAUGUCUGGGAAACUGCCCGAUGGAGGGGGAUAACUACUGGAAACGGUAGCUAAUACCGCAUACUAUCGGAUGUGCCCAUAUGGGAUUAGCUAGUAGGUGGGGUAACGGCUCACCUAGGCGACGAUCCCUAGCUGGUCUGAGAGGAUGAUCAGCCACACUGGAACUGAGACACGGUCCAGACUCCUACGGGAGGCAGCAGUGGGGAAUAUUGCACAAGGGGCGCAAGCCUGAUGCAGCCAUGCCGCGUGUAUGAAGAAGGCCUUCGGGUUGUAAAGUACUUUCAGUGGGGAGGCGUUACCGGCAGAAGAAGCACCGGCUAACUCCGUGCCAGCAGCCGCGGUAAUAC
Molecule: ribosomal RNA, 406 nt
Filed under: uncultured bacterium
Lineage: Bacteria
Description: partial 16S ribosomal RNA
Rfam family: Bacterial small subunit ribosomal RNA
Source: RNAcentral